CCUACGGGUGGGCAGCAGUGGGGAAUAUUGGACAAUGGGGGGAACCCUGAUCCAGCCAUGCCGCGUGUGUGAAGAAGGCCCUCGGGUUGUAAAGCACUUUCAGUGAGGAAGAACGCCUGGUGGUUAAUACCCAUCAGGAAAGACAUCACUCACAGAAGAAGCACCGGCUAACUCCGUGCCAGCAGCCGCGGUAAUACGGAGGGUGCGUGCGUUAAUCGGAAUUACUGGGCGUAAAGCGCGCGUAGGUGGCUUGAUAAGCCGGUUGUGAAAGCCCCGGGCUCAACCUGGGAACGGCAUCCGGAACUGUCAAGCUAGAGUGCAGGAGAGGAAGGUAGAAUUCCCGGUGUAGCGGUGAAAUGCGUAGAGAUCGGGAGGAAUACCAGUGGCGAAGGCGGCCUUCUGGACUGACACUGACACUGAGGUGCGAAAGCGUGGGUAGCAAACAGGAUUAGAUACCCCAGUAGUC
RNAcentral lists this ribosomal RNA (466 nucleotides) under Vreelandella stevensii. RNAcentral's name for it is "partial 16S ribosomal RNA". It matches the Rfam family "Bacterial small subunit ribosomal RNA", at positions 338 to 795 of the family's 1533-position model. Lineage: Bacteria; Pseudomonadati; Pseudomonadota; Gammaproteobacteria; Oceanospirillales; Halomonadaceae. The record is from RNAcentral.